This is a long non-coding RNA of Gopherus evgoodei (Goodes thornscrub tortoise), 115 nucleotides long. RefSeq lists it as uncharacterized. The transcript is spliced from 4 exons. Lineage: Eukaryota; Metazoa; Chordata; Testudines; Testudinidae. The record is from RefSeq and is a predicted model, not a curated record.
AAAUUUGUUAGCCUCUAAGGUGCCACAAGCACUCCUGUUCUUCUUGCUGAUACAGACUAACAUGGCUACGACUCUGAAACCUGUGACCAAGAAUAAGCUUGGGGGUCAUAGUGGA